Molecule: ribosomal RNA, 2814 nt
Filed under: Candidatus Taylorbacteria bacterium RIFCSPLOWO2_12_FULL_49_67
Lineage: Bacteria; Candidatus Tayloriibacteriota
Description: partial 23S ribosomal RNA
Rfam family: Bacterial large subunit ribosomal RNA
Source: RNAcentral
GGAAACAAGGGCGUAUGGUGGAUGCCUUGGCUUAAGGAGGCGAUGAAGGACGCGAGCUAGCGGCGAUACGCUCCGGGGAGGUGCUAAGCAACUUUUGAUCCGGAGGUCUCCGAAUGGGGAAACCUGUUUCGGUAAAACCGAUUCGUCCAGCCGUAAUUUCAGUUCUUUUAGUUAGUUAUUUUGUAGGAAAAGCGAAUCUGACAAGUCCGUCCGUCUUAACUGGUGAUCCCAGCGAUUGGUGUAAGCCGAUUGUGAUGCCGGCAGUGCGCAAGGGAAGUUCGUAACCGGCAGGUAGUCGUGAGUGCACUCAAAAUCAAAGCCUGCUUCUCCUACAAACACUCCCAAACUAACGGUUUGGGAACUGAAAUUACGGCUGGAAGCGUACCCUGGGAAGUAAAACAUUUCAGUACCAGGAGGAGUAGAAACCAAUAAGUAUUCCGUCAGUAGCGGCGAGCGAACGCGGAGAAGCCCAAACCGAUGCGUAGCAUCGGAAAUUCCAAAUCACAAUUUCCAAAUCACAAACAAAUCUCAAAUCUAAAACUCAAACGACUUUCUGAAGUCAUUCCCGCGCAGGCGGAAAUCCAGUUUAAUCUGGUUCCCCGUUUACACGGGGAUGACAUUAAGAAAUGUCAUUUCGGGCUUUGGAUAUUGGGUAUUGUUUGGAAUUUGGUGCUUGGGUAUUGGAGAUUCCGCUGCUGCGCAGCGGUGUUGUAAGGCAGAAGCGUCGUAUUUAUACGAGGAAAGUUACAAAAUUGUUUGUUAAUGGAAGUUGCUGGAAAGCGACACCCCAGAGGGUGAUAGUCCCGUACAUGAAAACAAACAAUCUUUCUUGCUUCUGUUCUUGAGUACCUCAAGACACGAAUAGCUUGGGGGAAUCCGCCGGAACUAACCGGCAAGGCUAAAUACUUCUUAAGACCGAUAGUGAACUAGUACCGUGAGGGAAAGGUGAAAAGCAGCCCGGUGAGGGCGGUGAAAUAGACCUGAAACCAUAUGCCUACAAGGAGUCAGAGCGGGCACAUCACAUGGAAUGUGAUGCGGAAAGACACAAAACACAGACAUACACAAAAAACCAGACAAAACACAAAACAGUCCAAACUUCACAAACGCUUCUUUGUUUGUGCUUUGAGAAAUUGUGUUUUGUUUGGGCUUUGGAUACUGUGCUUUGGAAAGUUUCCGCAUCGCGCUUCGCGCGAUGUGUCCGUCAUGGCGUGCCUAUUGNNNNNNNNNNNNNNNNNNNNNNNNNNNNNNNNNNNNNNNNNNNNNNNNNNNNNNNNNNNUGCCUAUUGAAGAAUGAGCCAACGAGUUGAUGUAUUCGGCUUGCCUAAGUGCGAGAGCGCGGAGGCGAAGCGAAAGCGAGUGUUAAUAGCGCGACAAUAUGUCGAAUCCAUCAGACCCGAAGCCAGGUGAGCUUACCAUGAGCAGGAUGAAUCCGCCAGAAAUGGCGGAGGAGGUCCGAACGCUAGAGCUGUGCAAUACUCUGCGAUGACUUGUGGUAAGGAGUGAUAAGCUAAUCGAACCUGGUAAUAGCUGGUUCUCUCCGAAAUAGCUUUAGGGCUAGCGUCGUGUGUUCCUUUUGGGGGUAGAGCUCUGGAUGGUCUAAAUAGGUCGAAAGACCGUUAGACCAAUCAAACUUCGAAUACCAAAAGCGCCCGCAUCACAGGGAAUGUGAUGCGGAGAAGUAGGAUUUACGAUUUACGAUUUAUGAAUAAGACAGUCUUAUUUCUUAAAUCCUACUUCUUAAAUCAUACAUCUCCGCAUCGCGUUUCGCGCGAUGCGGGUAGAAUGCGGCAGUUAGACCGUGGGGGCUAAGCUCCAAAGGUCAAAAAGGGAAGAGCCUAUGAUCUCCAGUUAAGGUCCCAAAAUCUGCGCUCAGUACAUCACAAGGAAGUGGAAUUUCUCUGACAAUGAGGAUGUAGGCUUAGAAGCAGCCAUCAUUGAAAGAAAGCGUAACAGCUCACUCAUCGAGAAAUUCUGCACCGAAGAUAAUCGGGGUUAAGCGCAGUACCGAAACUGAGGGUGCCUCGUGUAGAACACAAGGAAAUUCCAAAUUACAAUUCCCAAAUCACAAACAAACGACUUAUCUUAAGUCGUUCCCGCGAAAGCGGGAAUCCAGAUUUCUUGGUUCCCCGCCUCCGCGGGGAUGACAUUAAGAAAUGUCAAUUGUUUGGAAUUUGGUGCUUGGUUAUUGGGAUUUUCUCGCGUUCUACGCGAGGUGCGGUAGGAGAGUAUUCGCAUCUGCAGUGAAGCCAAAGGGGUGACCCAUGGUGGAGCGUUGCGAAGUAAGAAUGUUGGCACAAGUAACCACAAUGCGGGUGAGAAACCCGCACGCCGAAAGACUAAGGUUUCCUCCUCGAUGAUUGUCAGAGGAGGGUUAGUCGGGCCUAAGGGGAUGGCGAAAGCCGCACCUGAUGGACACACGGUUAAUAUUCCGUGACUUUGGCGCGUUUCGACGGAGUGACGAAGUCUAGUAUGCCGUGCGCAUUAUUGGAUUUGACGUUCUUGGCUCGGAGACGACUUCCAGGCAAAUCCGGGAGUCUGCCUUUAAUGGCGAGUCGAAGGAGCAGAGAAGACCCGCCUAACUUUGUUUCGGAAAUUGAGAGUGUUGUUGGUUGAGAAUUUUUUUGGAGAUUCUUAACUAGCACACAUUUCUAUUGUUCGGAGACAAAGUUGGGCGGGGAUAUGGCAAAUCGGACUUCCAAGAAAAACUUCUAAGAUUAAACGCGACAAAACCGUACCGUAAACCGACACAGGUAGUCAGCUCGAGUAGAGCAAGGCGAACGAAUGAGAGGUCUCCAAGGAACUCGGCAAAAAAGC